RNAcentral lists this ribosomal RNA (492 nucleotides) under uncultured bacterium. RNAcentral describes it as "partial 16S ribosomal RNA". It matches the Rfam family "Bacterial small subunit ribosomal RNA", at positions 29 to 507 of the family's 1533-position model. The record is from RNAcentral.
AGUGAACGCUGGCGGUAGGCCUAACACAUGCAAGUCGAACGGCAGCACAGUAAGAGCUUGCUCUUACGGGUGGCGAGUGGCGGACGGGUGAGGAAUACAUCGGAAUCUACUUUUUCGUGGGGGAUAGCGUAGGGAAACUUACGCUAAUACUGCAUACGACCUACGGGUGAAAGCAGGGGAUCUUCGGACCUUGCGCGAUUGAAUGAGCCGAUGUCGGAUUAGCUAGUUGGCGGGGUAAAGGCCCACCAAGGCGACGAUCCGUAGCUGGUCUGAGAGGAUGAUCAGCCACACUGGAACUGAGACACGGUCCAGACUCCUACGGGAGGCAGCAGUGGGGAAUAUUGGACAAUGGGCGCAAGCCUGAUCCAGCCAUACCGCGUGGGUGAAGAAGGCCUUCGGGUUGUAAAGCCCUUUUGUUGGGAAAGAAAAGCAGCGGGUUAAUACCCCGCUGUUCUGACGGUACCCAAAGAAUAAGCACCGGCUAACUUCGUG